Glycine soja is the source of this 3082-nucleotide RNA transcript. It is a transcript of the gene named F-box/kelch-repeat protein At3g23880-like, with no coding region annotated. Lineage: Eukaryota; Viridiplantae; Streptophyta; Magnoliopsida; Fabales; Fabaceae. The transcript has 2 exons. The record is from RefSeq and is a predicted model, not a curated record.
AGUUCUCAAACAAUCAUAACAUUAAGUUGACGAUUGUAAAGCUCAGAAUCUCUUACGGAAUCCUUACAUUACAUAUAUCGGGUUCUCUCUGUCUCUCCGUCUCGUAGCAGAGAAGCAGCAUGGAGAAGCACACUUUGUCUGUGACUCUGCCUCUGGAAUUGAUCAGAGAAAUUCUUCUGCGAUCGCCGGUGAGAUCCGUUCUUCGUUUCAAGUGUGUUUGUAAGUCAUGGCUUUCCCUAAUUUCAGAUCCCCAAUUUAGCAUUUCCCAUUUUGACCUAGCUGCCUCACCCACCCAUCGACUCAUUCUCAGAUCAAAUUAUUAUGAUAACUUUAACUAUAUUGAAUCCAUUGAUAUUGAAAGUCUGAUUAAAACAUGUCGCCAGCACAUAGUGUAUUUUCCAUCACCUCCACGCGACCACCAUGAUGAUGGUGAAUAUUAUGAUGUUCACAAUCAACCCCAGAUUUUGGGUUCUUGCAGAGGGCUUGUACUUUUACACUACUGGGGGAGCAGCGAAGAACUCAUCUUAUGGAAUCCCUCACUAGGCGUCCACAAACGAUUCCCAAAAACAUACUUUCCAUAUGGGAUACACGACGAAUAUGUAUAUGGUUUCGGGUUUGACGCAUCAACAGAUGACUACGGGCUAAUUCUUAUUGAAUUUCCCGAGUUUAGCUUCGGCGAAACUGCAGUCUUCCUUUUCUCCUUCAAAACUGGGUCGUGGAAAAGAGACAUUCUUGUUAGUGCUUCAUACAACGAUCUCGAUGAUAUAUUCAGUGUUGGGGAUGAAUUCAAAGCUGGGUCACUCCUCAAUGGGGUUCUUCAUUGGCUGGUUUUCUCGAAGGAAAGAAAGGUUCCCGUGAUUAUUGCCUUUGAUUUGAUACAAAGGAGUUUUUCAGAGAUUCCUCUGUUCAAUCAUUUGACUACGGAAAAUUAUCAUGUCUGCAGAUUGAGGGUAGUGGGAGGAUGCCUCUGCCUCAUGGUCCUAGGCUGCGAAGCGGCUGAGAUAUGGGUGAUGAAAGAAUAUAAAAUGCAAUCAUCUUGGACUAAGUCCACUGUUAUCCCUACUUUUGACUUCUACCCGAUAUGCGCCGCUGAAGAUGGUGGAAUUUUUGGAUCAAAUUGUGAAGGAUUAGUGAAACACGAUGACAAUGGAGAGCUGUUUGACUAUCACAUCAGUGCUGAAGGUCAAAGGUUGUACUGUGCCAAUCCUGCUAUGUAUCAAGAGAGUCUACUGUCCCUCCCCUGUGCCAAUCGGAAUGAAACAAGGGAAGAUGACCAACAUUAACAGAAGAAUUAGGGUAUGCAUUGUUCUCCAAUCCUUUUCACCAUUAUAUUCCUAUUCAUUUUGUCUUAUGGGAAAUAAAAGUUAUAUAUGCAGAAUAAGUGGUAUGUGUAAAAUCAGCUUUUAUCUAUGUCCUAUAUUGAGAAGACUGAACUUUAAUUCUCCCACACCUUUUGGUUUCUACAUUUUGGUAUUUCCCAUUAUGACAUAGCUGGCAUACCAACACAUCGACUCCUUCUCACACCAAACACGGUUUAUGCUCAAUCCAUUGAUAUAGAAGCACUGCUUAACAAAGAUUCUGUUCCCGUGCGUUUCCUUUCCCCCACGCAAUCCCUUUGUUCAAUCUCUUAACAAUCAACCUCAUAUUUUGAGUUCAUGCAGAGGGCUCAUACUUUUAUACCACGAGAGAAGUGGUGAUCUCAUUAUGUGGAAUCCAAUUAUACGUGUCUACAAAUGAUUAUCAGAUUUUAAAGUUAUGUUAACCAAAAAGUUUCAAUAUGGUUUAGUGUAUGAUGAGUUAACAGAUGAUUAGUCUACUUGCUUGUUAUUAUUUCAACUGUUCUCUGAUUCUCUUGAUGAAUGCAAACCUGAAAUCCAAGUUUUCUCAUUCAAAACCAAUUUAAGGAGCAGAUACAAUAUUAAUGUUCCAUAUAAGCAUCUCGGCCUGGAAUUCGGAGCUGGGUCAUUCUUGAAUGUAGCUCUUCAUUGGUUGGUUUUCUGCGAUGAUAAAAAAGUUCCCUUCCUUGCUUCCUUUGAUCUCAUACAAAGGACUUUAUCAGAGAUUCCUCUGUUUGAUCAGUUCACUAGGAAAAGAUACCAAGUUUAUGGUUUAAGGUUAACGGGGAAUGUCUCUGUGUGUGUUGCUUCGUCCAACGCCAUGCAAUGACUCAAAUAUGGGUGAUGGAAGAAUAUAAAGUGCAGUCAUCUUAAACUAGGUCCAUUGUUAUCGUAACUACUAACAUUCCUCACAAUCUCUUUUCCCCGAUAUGCAUCCCCAAAGAUGGUGGAAUUUUGGGAUCAAAUAGGAGGGGAAGAUUAGAGAAACUUAAUGAUAAAGGAGAGCUGCUUGAGCAUUCCAAAUUUGGUCGAGAUGAAUACAAUUACAAAGCCAACCUACAGGUUGCUAUGUAUAGAGAGAGUCUAAUGCCGCUCCCAACUGUCAUUUGUUCUAAGAGGUGGAGAUGACCAAGUACAGUAACAAACAGGUACGAAUUGUUCUCCAAUUGUUUUCGCCAUUAUACUGUUAUCCACCUUGCAUUAUGAGAAUUGAAAAGUUAUGUACAGAAUGAGCAGUAUGUGAAAAAUCUUUCUUUCACCUAUUAUUUACUAUCCCCAUCCUUGCUAAUGGUACUUAUUUUAUAUAUAUAUUAAAAUUAAAUGGUACAUGAGAUUGGAUGGAAAGAUGAGGUUUGGUGUUGACUUCAGUUUGGUUAGAUAAAAUAUUUGAUGUCUUGAUUACACAAAAGCCAAAAUAAUCAAAGGCAAUUUGAGUGGAAAAUUGUACAAGGAAGGCGACUAAUGUUGACAGUGAAACAGCCCUGAAAUAUGCAAUACUAUAUACAAUUACUUUGAUGCCACCAGAAGGCAUACAAUUUGGAAGAGAAUGGCUCUUAUGAUAUUAAAUCAUCUAGUUUAGUGCAGAACUAGUAUUUGUUUUAGUGAUUUCAGUAAAGUUGGAGUGUCAUCAGACGUUACAAUUUAACUGUAUUUUAAAGUUGAAGUUUGCAAAUCUUAGUUGUACAUGCUAUUUAGUGCCUGUAUGUUUUUUCCUUCUAAUGUUAUUAUGUUUGCAGUUUGUUUCU